Long non-coding RNA from Mya arenaria, 1240 nucleotides. RefSeq lists it as uncharacterized. The record is from RefSeq and is a predicted model, not a curated record. Lineage: Eukaryota; Metazoa; Mollusca; Bivalvia; Myida; Myidae. The transcript is spliced from 3 exons.
UGACUGGUUAUCUUAAAUCAAUGUUUUAGUGGUUUGUUUAUUUCUAUAAGGCAUGCAUUGUUUAUGUUCGCUUGAAGAAAAUCUUUCUUAAAUUGAAGAAACUCUUAUCAAGAAUGUUACCUUUUAAUGCUUCCAAACGCGCAUAAGUCAAAACCAUUGGAACUAAAUCUUCAAUUGUGUUAAUAACAGCUAUGUCCUGCGGCCGCGUCAAAAUAUGUUUGUGUUUGUGGAAUAUCUGGGUCUGGUGCAAAAACAUUUUGUGGAAUAUCUGGAGCUGUUGUAAAAAAUGGUUUUGUUGUUGCAAAAACAAGCAAGAUGGAUCCAAUGUUCAGUUGUACUGCGAAAAUGGAUUGGAUGAGACUAUUCGUAUUAACCUAUUACGCAAAUUCAAGACCAUUAACUUCGUCAUAUGCGACACAAAGGCAAAAAUAACAGCUUCCGAGCCAUUGGUAGUACUGUGCACAUUUCAAACCAGGAUUGAAGAUUCAUGCAAUGCCGCAAUGGAAGAAUUACAAGAUUGUAAAUCGGUUGUCUUGGUGGUGUUUCGCCGAAUAAUCGGGAGCGUUACCAAAAAUAGCAUCGUUAGUGGCUGUUUUUAUGAACAUCCUGGAGUUAAGAAAACCAUUUAUGCCGGCUUCGACGGAAACAAAAUAUAUUUCUUAAGAACUGACGAGGAAUUUAUAAAAAACAAAGCAGAUAAAAUAGGAGAUGCGGAACCAUGUAUUUAACUGUAAGCUUACAAUUAUGUGUUGAUUUAAUAUUUAAAUCUUACAAACAUUGCCGGUACAAUAAUUUGAAUGGCCACAAUGUAUAUGCAAAACGUAUGUGAAUCCGUUGAGUGGAAGAUACAUAAUGCGAAAUAACCAUCAGGAGUGUUUCAAGGAUUUCACGUCAAUGUGCUCAUGCUCCUGAAACCGAAAAUAAUCACAACAUACAAGAUGGAAUACUUUUAUCUAGAAUGGUUCAUUGUGCUGCAUUUUAUGCAUAUUUUGUUUGCUCAUAUUGACAUUUAAAGUGAACAGUAUUACAGUGCGCGCGCAUGGUACAAACCCCGCUGGAUCCGUUUGUGACUUGACAUUAUUGUCCAAAAAAUACUUGUUGGUAAUACUGAAGUGUAAUGAAUCAAACUGUAUGCACUAAAACAUGACUUAAAAUUAAAUAAAUGUUAUAUAUGCAAUUCUAUAAGAAUAAAUUAUGAUGAAAAAUCUAUUUUUAUAAUCCAUUUGAACCAUAUGUUCAA